Molecule: ribosomal RNA, 253 nt
Filed under: uncultured bacterium
Lineage: Bacteria
Description: partial 16S ribosomal RNA
Rfam family: Bacterial small subunit ribosomal RNA
Source: RNAcentral
UACGUAGGGUGUGAGCGUUAAUCGGAAUUACUGGGCGUAAAGCGUGCGCAGGCGGUUGGUUAAGUCUGAUGUGAAAGCCCCGAGCUCAACUUGGGAAUGGCAUUGGAAACUGGCUGGCUAGAGUGUGGCAGAGGGGGGUGGAAUUCCGCGUGUAGCAGUGAAAUGCGUAGAGAUGCGGAAGAACACCGAUGGCGAAGGCAGCCCCCUGGGCUGACACUGACGCUCAGGCACGAAAGCGUGGGGAGCAAACAGG